Molecule: unclassified non-coding RNA, 75 nt
Filed under: Gemmiger formicilis
Lineage: Bacteria; Bacillati; Bacillota; Clostridia; Eubacteriales; Oscillospiraceae
Source: RNAcentral
AACCGCCGUGUACCGGUCGGUACGCACGGUGGUGUGAGAGGUCGGCUCUUUAGUUAAGAGAGCCUCCUACUCGAU